Molecule: non-coding RNA, 94 nt
Organism: Schizophyllum amplum
Lineage: Eukaryota; Fungi; Basidiomycota; Agaricomycetes; Agaricales; Schizophyllaceae
Source: the annotation of a GenBank genome assembly
GGCCGCCUGGCGUAAUGGCAACGCGUCUGACUACGAUGUGAUUCGAUAUCGUUGACUUAUCAGGAGAUUGCAGGUUCGACCCCUGCGGUGGUCA